AUUGAACGCUGGCGGCAGGCCUAACACAUGCAAGUCGAGCGGAUGAAGGGAGCUUGCUCCUGGAUUCAGCGGCGGACGGGUGAGUAAUGCCUAGGAAUCUGCCUGGUAGUGGGGGAUAACGUCCGGAAACGGGCGCUAAUACCGCAUCCGUCCUGAGGGAGAAAGUGGGGGAUCUUCGGACCUCACGCUAUCAGAUGAGCCUAGGUCGGAUUAGCUAGUUGGUGGGGUAAAGGCCUACCAAGGCGACGAUCCGUAACUGGUCUGAGAGGAUGAUCAGUCACACUGGAACUGAGACACGGUCCAGACUCCUACGGGAAGCAGCAGUGGGGAAUAUUGGACAAUGGGCGAAAGCCUGAUCCAGCCAUGCCGCGUGUGUGAAGAAGGUCUUCGGAUUGUAAAGCACUUUAAGUUGGGAGGAAGGGCAGUAAGUUAAUACCUUGCUGUUUUGACGUUACCAACAGAAUAAGCACCGGCUAACUUCGUG
Molecule: ribosomal RNA, 484 nt
Filed under: uncultured bacterium
Lineage: Bacteria
Description: partial 16S ribosomal RNA
Rfam family: Bacterial small subunit ribosomal RNA
Source: RNAcentral